This 568-nucleotide ribosomal RNA is filed under the name uncultured bacterium. RNAcentral describes it as "bacterial SSU rRNA". It matches the Rfam family "Bacterial small subunit ribosomal RNA", at positions 338 to 916 of the family's 1533-position model. The record is from RNAcentral.
CCUAUGGGAGGCAGCAGUGGGGAAUAUUGCACAAUGGGCGAAAGCCUGAUGCAGCGACGCCGCGUGAGGGAUGACGGCCUUCGGGUUGUAAACCUCUUUCAGCAGGGAAGAAGCGAAAGUGACGGUACCUGCAGAAGAAGCGCCGGCUAACUACGUGCCAGCAGCCGCGGUAAUACGUAGGGCGCAAGCGUUGUCCGGAAUUAUUGGGCGUAAAGAGCUCGUAGGCGGCUUGUCACGUCGGUUGUGAAAGCCCGGGGCUUAACCCCGGGUCUGCAGUCGAUACGGGCAGGCUAGAGUGUGGUAGGGGAGAUCGGAAUUCCUGGUGUAGCGGUGAAAUGCGCAGAUAUCAGGAGGAACACCGGUGGCGAAGGCGGAUCUCUGGGCCAUUACUGACGCUGAGGAGCGAAAGCGUGGGGAGCGAACAGGAUUAGAUACCCUGGUAGUCCACGCCGUAAACGGUGGGAACUAGGUGUUGGCGACAUUCCACGUCGUCGGUGCCGCAGCUAACGCAUUAAGUUCCCCGCCUGGGGAGUACGGCCGCAAGGCUAAAACUCAAAUGAAUUGACGG